AGCAGCCGCGGUAAUUCCAGCUCCAAUAGCGUAUAUUAAAGUUGUUGCAGUUAAAAAGCUCGUAGUUGAAUUUCGGGGUUCUACCGUUGGUCAGGCUAUUGUCUGUACUGGCGUGUAGAAUUUCUACCUCCUGGGGAACUAUCAUGUUAUUAAUUUAGCGUGGUAGGAAACCAGGACCUUUACCUUGAAAAAAUUAGAGUGUUCAAAGCAGGCUUAUGUCUGAAUACAUUAGCAUGGAAUAAUAAAAUAGGACGGUGGUCCUGUUUUGUUGGUUUCUGAAUCACCGUAAUGAUUAAUAGGGAUAGUUGGGGGCAUUAGUAUUCAAUUGUCAGGGGUGAAAUUCUUGGAUUUAUUGAAGACUAACUACUGCGAAAGCAUUUGCCAAGGAUGUUUUCAUUAAUCAAGAACGAAAGUUAGGGGAUCGAAGACGAUCAGAUACCGUCGUAGUCUUAACCAUAAACUAUGCCGACUAGGGAUCGGACGAUGUUAACCUUUCUUGACUCGUUCGGCGCCUUACGGG
RNAcentral lists this ribosomal RNA (520 nucleotides) under uncultured Glomeromycotina. RNAcentral's name for it is "SSU rRNA". It matches the Rfam family "Eukaryotic small subunit ribosomal RNA", at positions 569 to 1094 of the family's 1831-position model. The record is from RNAcentral. Lineage: Eukaryota; Fungi; Glomeromycota.